GCCGAGGUGGCCUAGCCUAGUUAUGGCACCAGGCUACACCCGACGGGGUGAAACUCAUAAUCCUGGGCUGGGAGGAGUAAUCUGGGGGUCGAGGGCGCGAAGCCUCUUGGAGGCGCGGCUCCCUCCCUCGGCACCA
Molecule: transfer RNA, 136 nt
Filed under: Nitrososphaerota archaeon
Lineage: Archaea; Thermoproteati; Nitrososphaerota
Description: tRNA-OTHER
Source: RNAcentral